RNAcentral lists this unclassified non-coding RNA (3792 nucleotides) under Copidosoma floridanum. Its description in RNAcentral is "lIM domain-binding protein 2, transcript variant X8". Lineage: Eukaryota; Metazoa; Arthropoda; Insecta; Hymenoptera; Encyrtidae. The record is from RNAcentral.
CAGAGUCAGCUCCUCGCAGUGCCGUCGCCGCUCUCCCCGACCUUACGCGUGUCGUUUGUUGUGCAUCCGAUACACCGCGUACAAAUUACUCCAAUCCCUUGUCCCUUACCGAUAAGCUUGUGAUAUCAACGACAGUGAGUGCGCGCGUGUGUCUUAUCAUAAUCGACCAGUCCCUUCCUUUAUCUUUCAGCUCCCCGAUCGACGCUACCGCCGUUAACUCGGAGUGAUGAACGUCAAUCCCGCUACCGAGUGAACAUAUAACCCGAGGCACGAUGCCGCAGCUGAGAAUCGGCCCAGCUCGGCGCAUCCCUUGCGGCGACUGACCCCGGCUACCUGUCCCAUACAGAAACCGAAGGAAGAUCAAACAAUCAUAAUACAAUCGUGUGUUCGCGCGGGUCUGCGGUGCGCAUCGUCCGGUCGAGCCUUCUUUCGCCGAGAGAAGGCUCGGAGCAGAGUACAAUACACCGCGUCAGAGGUGACAAUGACGACGGCUCGGGCCUGCCGGGGAAGACGGCAGCGUAGCAGCCGGUGCGACAUCCGGGCGACACCUACGUGACGAACCACGUGUCACACGCCCCCGUCCCCCCUCCCUCCGCCGAUCCGCAUGCAAAUUUUUUCGGGAUACCUUCUCGUCGAUAUUUCCCGUUGUGUAUAAAAAAAAAAAAAAAAAUAAUAAUAAUAAUAAUAAUAAUAAUAAUAAUACACAUGCAACAACAAUAGACACGUGUAGCCUAGAGCUCGGCUCCGAUGAUUAUCGAUUAGUGAGUGUAUAUAUGUGUGCAGUGUGUGUGUUGUGCCUAUACUGCUCGUAGUAUAUACCUACUUACAUUAAAGGAGUGAACGCGAUUCGUGCACGUUGUAUAUGUAUAGUGGCUCCUGGUCGACAGAAUAAUCAAUAAUUACAUAAUUAUGUAUGGCAAUCAUGUGAAUUGUGCGAUAAUCGUGUGAUAUAUAUGUAUAUUUUUUCGUUGUACACCCGCACGGGAUAGUGAUAAACAAGAGUUGUGUGCGUGUAUAUAUAUAUAUAUAUAUUUCUUCGUUCGUUCAAUGUUGAAACAGCUCUGUGCGGUUGGCGAUUGUCAAAUUGUGUUGCAAGUUCCGCAUCUCGCCAACAAACGACAGAUCAGUGAUACGAGUUGAAAAAGGAGAUACAUUGGGCCCUUCCUCCCUCCCCCGUGUAAAGGAGCAGUAGGGUAGCCUGUAGGGCUGCCAUCGUCAUCGGUAGCAGCGGUAGUGUUGCAUAUAGUCGAGGAGCGGCAGCCCAAGGGUGCAUUACCAGCAGAGCGCCAGCGUGUUCGGCUCGAGUCUCGUGUUCGGCGAGACGGGUGGCGUCGUGGAGGGGGGAGUGAUGCCGGUGAGGGUGGCGCAGCGCCCCCCGAGUGGACUACUGCACGGCGGCGUGCCGGUGAGCGGCGGUCCCGGCUCGGUGUCCGUUGCCUCUGCCAGCCGCUGCGGCCUCGGCGGGCCCACGUCUAACGGCUCCCCCCCACUUCAAGGCCUCGGUGGUCCCAUAGCCACUGCUACUUCUGUCUCCGCUGGGGGCGGUGGUGGUGUCGUUGUUGUCGUUGGACCCGGUGGUGGUGGCGGUGGUCCCAAUUCCGGACCCAACUCGGCGUCCGGUGCUGCUGCCGGCGCGGGUUUACCACCCGCGCCAUCGUUACUUGGAGUAGUGGCGGGCACAGGAGGAGGAGGAGGGCCCGUUGGUUGCGGGCCCGGAGGCCCGAUCGGCCCACCCAACCCUUUGCAAGCCAUGGCCUCGGCCGCUGCCUCGCUCACGCAGUUAAAUAACAUGGCAAAUGGGCCCCUACCGCCGAUGGGUAGUGGGCCCCAGGGCCCACCUGGUCUACCGCCCCCUCAGCCGGCCACGACGCCGACCCACGGUGGGCCACCUACGCCCCACGGACAGCCGGGAGGAGUGCCGAUGCCGCACCUAAACGGGGCCUCACCCUCGCCCCACUCGAUGCCACACGGGGGAAUGAUGGCCGGAUCGCCUCACGCGACGCAUCCGGGACACAUGGCCGGUGGCGGUCCAUCUCCCCAUCCGCAUCAUCCGGGGCCUCACAUGGUCGGCUCGCCCCAUCCGGGGCCUCAUCCGCACAUGGGACCCGCCGGUAUGAUGGGACCCGGAGGCAUGCAGCCCCAAGGAGGGCCAGGAAUGUGCGGGCCCGCAGUGCCCGGUGGCCCGCCCAUGGGACCGCACGGGCCGCACCCGCAGGGCCCCGGUGGAGUGCCGGGCCAGCCGCACAUGCACAACGAUCCGUUCUACUGUUCGCCCUUCGGAUCGCCGUACUUCAGAUCAACGUUGCCUGUCCCCAGGAGGCACACCCCGUAUUACGGCCAGCCGGACUACCGAUUUUACGAGCUCAACAAGAGGUUACAGCAGCGGACCGAGGAAAGCGACAACCUCUGGUGGGACGCGUUUGCGACUGAAUUUUUCGAAGACGACGCGUCGCUCACGCUCACGUUUAAUCUCGAGGACGGACCGAAGAGAUACACGAUAGGAAGGACGCUGAUACCGAGGUACUUCCGCUCGAUAUUCGAGGGCGGCGUCUCGGAGCUCUACUUCAACAUAAAACACGUGAAGGAGUCGUUUCACAACACCAGCAUAACACUCGAGUGCGAUCAAUGCACGAUGGUCACGCAUCACGGGAAACCGACUUUCACGAAGAUUCAGCAUGAUGCGCUGGGUUCGCAGGUGUGCACGGAGGCGAGGCUACUGCUCGAGUACACGUUCGACGACCUCAUGAGGAUAAAGUCGUGGCACAUGCAGGUCCGGGGCCACAGGGAACUCGUGCCAAGGACGAUGUUCCAGAUGUCCCAGGACCCGACGACUCUCGAACACCUCACCAAGAACAUCACGAGGCAGGGCAUCACCAACUCAACGCUCAAUUAUCUCAAGUUGUGCGUCAUCCUAGAGCCGAUGCAAGAGCUGAUGUCGAGGCACAAGGCGUACGCGCUGUCGCCGCGCGACUGUCUCAAGACGACGCUGUUCCAGAAGUGGCAAAGGAUGGUUGCCCCGCCGGGUAAGCGAGAAUCCCAGAGGCCGACGAACAAGAGGAGAAAGCGAAAAGGCAGCACGUCUGGACCGGGGAAUAACGCGCCGCCAGCGCCGAGUAAAAAGCGAUCGCCGGGACCGAAUUUUUCCCUCACGACUCAGGACGUGAUGGUCGUGGGCGAGCCGUCGUUGAUGGGCGGUGAGUUUGGUGACGAGGACGAAAGACUGAUCACGAGGCUGGAGAACACGCAGUACGACGCCGCGAACAGUCUCGACCCGCACAGCCACGAGGCUCAAGCCGGACCACCGAAUCAUCCGCAUCAGUUUCACUCGGAACCUCAGCCUGGCAACUCUUGGCCACCAGACAGGGGUCCAGGACCCCCACAGGGUGGACCUGGAAAUCAGCAACAACAACAACAACAACAACAACAACAACCACAACAACAACAACAACAACAACAACAACAACAACAACACCUACUACUCUGCUUCCAGGGAGUUCAAGGAGGACCCGGUGGAGCAGGCUCUGGUGUGCAAGGAGCGCAAGACGCGAGCCAACAACAGCAGGACAAGAAAAGCCCCGCGGUGAGCCAGUGAGGCCAGGAGUCCCCGCGCCCCCCCACCAGGGGGCGACGGGGGCGCCGGCCCAAGAACGUGGCUCCCUAGCGGGGCGAGAAUUCUCAACUCCCCACGCCCUAUUUGACCGGCAAUUCGGGUCCACCCCCAUCGGCCGCCAACUCGUCCCUGCCAUCGACUGCCGCUCGCUUCUCCCAGAUCGCAGUCGCAGCAACACCAUA